UAUUCUGCCCCACGGGGAAGGAUGAGAAGCUUCGACCAAGGUUCGACUCGAGCGAAGCGAGAGAACGUUGCCGCAGGCAACGGCCCGAAGGGCGAAGCGCUUUAGCGCCGAGUAAUCCUUCCCCACCACUG
Molecule: small RNA, 131 nt
Filed under: Klebsiella pneumoniae
Lineage: Bacteria; Pseudomonadati; Pseudomonadota; Gammaproteobacteria; Enterobacterales; Enterobacteriaceae
Also listed under: 1 other name
Description: RtT sRNA
Rfam family: RtT RNA
About the family: This family represents a bacterial cis-regulatory element known as RtT RNA. The exact function of RtT is unknown although it is thought that it may be involved in changing the cellular response in relation to amino acid starvation.
Source: RNAcentral